UAAAAAUCUUAAAACGGUGAAUGAAGUGCCUGAGGCCGAGAAUACUAGAUUGUAGUUUUUUUUACUGCGCUAUUGGUCCGUACACGCUACACAGGAAGAGAAAAAGAACUACAAUACCCAUCUCCAUUGCUUAUCCUGCUAAAAGGUGGAAGCCAAAGGCUAUCGGUCUAAUGAGCGCUGAGACGAGGAAAUGCACCUGAAUACCACAACAGAGUUAAAAAUGCCACGAAGGAUCAGUCCCCGUGCUGAUGCUGUGCAUUAUGCAACUACAAAGAGUGAUAAGACAUCAAAGCUUGAUGUGAAAUACAUCAGUCCAGAGAAAGGCCGUGGUGUCUUUGCACUAGCAUCAUUUUUUAGAGGCGAUUUUGUGGCUGAGUACAGAGGAGAA
This is a long non-coding RNA of Clarias gariepinus (North African catfish), 388 nucleotides long. RefSeq lists it as uncharacterized. The record is from RefSeq and is a predicted model, not a curated record. The transcript is spliced from 3 exons. NCBI's taxonomy places the organism in Eukaryota, Metazoa, Chordata, Actinopteri, Siluriformes, Clariidae.